Molecule: long non-coding RNA, 1954 nt
Organism: Wasmannia auropunctata (little fire ant)
Lineage: Eukaryota; Metazoa; Arthropoda; Insecta; Hymenoptera; Formicidae
Exons: 2
Source: RefSeq, a predicted model, not a curated record
GACGCCGCGGUCGCUGCUAAACCCGAUGAACGCAGUGGCGAGGUCCCCGUGGCUUUUGUAGUGAAGCAACCUGGCGCCACGAUUACCGCCCAAGAAUUGCAGGAGUUCGUCAAACAGAAACUGUCAUUGUCAAAAUGGUUGCGUGGCGGGGUACAAUUUGUCGAUGCCAUACCGAAGAAUUCUACCGGCAAAAUACUACGCCGCGAACUUCGAGUAAUGAUCUCUAAAUUGUAGUAAAAAUCGCAUGUCAAUAGGCAUAUUUAUAAGUUUAAAUCUUCUUCGACGAAGACCUGCAAAGAAAAGCAAUUAAGUUAACAGAGUACAAUAAUUUUUAAUAUUUUUUAUAUCGCCAAGAGCAAUCUGGCAAUUACUGGUAAUCGCUUAAGAAAAAUGCCACGUGCUAAGAAAUAUUUUUGCGUUAAUAAACGUCUCACUGCGAAGAAGAGAGUAAGCUCCGCAAAUGUCUUCGCUGCAGAAACGUAAAUUUAUUGCAGCUUGUUGUCAUGUUGACUAAUUCGUAAGUAAACCGUUGAACAACCGUUGUCGAAUAAAUACGAGCGUUCAGUAAAUUGGUUCCACCGCCUGAAAAUAGCGAGAUAUGGCACAGCGAGAGGGUGUUUUGAGUUAUAUUACACGAUAAUACUUCUGCGUCGAUCUGUGGUGUUACGAAAAUAAGCGAAGAAACUUGUUGCAUUACACAUGAAAAACACGAGAGCGUGCACGCAUGUGCUCCCAGAUUUCAUCAAUGUUUAACUUCUUUCCUUUUUUGCGAUGAUAUAGGGAUCAAACCUUGAUUCUCGUAUUCCAUUGAAUCUGCAUAAUAAUGUAGAAAAUAUCUCUCUUUAACGGAAUUAACUCUUUAUAAAAAAAUAGCAGAACUUAUAGCGGAUUCCCACAAUGAUUCCGACUCACUUCGUAACCUUUCCGCAUUAAAAUUAUCGGCAUCAGUCUUCCAUUUUCCAUCCAUUAACAAAUCAUUCAUUUUAUAGUACCUAAGUAGUACAAAAACUGAUUUAACAAUAAGUUACGAUUUUUCAAAUGGUUUGUCUGCUGAAAUAUGUAUUUCUCUUUCUUAAAUCUAUUGGGUUAAAGUAAAUAAUUUAUUAAAAUGUCUAUCAUCUUAUUGCAAUAAGCUGUUUUUUUGUUAAUUUAUUAUGUAAAAAAAUUUAAUUUGUUAAUUUACACAACAAAAGGAAAUUUUACAAUAAUAUCGUUAUCGAUUGUCGAGUGCGUUUGUUACCACAUAUUGAAGCGAGAUAGGAAUCGUCCACCCUCGAGGAAUGCAUUUAGUAGGUCCAAUAACAAAAAAAUAAAUCGAUUAUAAACGUUUUUUUCAUGGAUAAAUUUUGGCACUAAAGUGCCAAAUUUCAACUUUCUUUUUUAUUUUAAAAAUGCUAUCUAAUAUAUCUGAUUCUCAAAUUUAAAAAAUUCGAAAGAAUUGAUGAAACAGGCAAUAAGAGUCAACGCGUAGAACUUGAUGUGUAAGAAAUUUUUUAUCCCAUAAUUAUUCAAUGUUACUACAUAUACGUAAUAAAAUCCUUUCUUUAUACGUUUCAGCCUUAUUCAGGCUUUCUUCAGCGGUAAAUAAUAUAAUAUAUUAAUACAUCUUUAUGUACAAAUAAAUAAAUUUGCUACUAUCUUUUAAAUAAGUUCCGUAUUGUGUGAGAUGGGCUUCCACAGUUUCAAGAUUACAAGCAUACGCGAUCUCUAAUAAUUAAAGAAACUCUAAAUAGAGUAGUUAACAAUCUCGAAGCUCAUAUAUGUACCACUCGGUGCAUUCACCACUGCUUGAACACAUCAAGAUGUACAUAAAUAUAUAAACCUUGAAACAAUGAAUUACAAUGUUGUAAAGUAAAAACAUUUUAACGUUACGCGUCUAUUAUCAAAUUUAAAAUGUUAUUAAUUUUGUCUAACUUGUAUGCCCGUUGUAAUAAAACCAAGUAUAUAUAAAUAA